Molecule: non-coding RNA, 96 nt
Organism: Mycena haematopus
Lineage: Eukaryota; Fungi; Basidiomycota; Agaricomycetes; Agaricales; Mycenaceae
Source: the annotation of a GenBank genome assembly
GCCCUUAUAGACUAAUGGUAUGUCACCCAGAUAUAUUAGACAACACAGAACGUAUUUAUACUUUGGGAGAUGAGGGUUCGAAUCGCUGUUGGGGCA